RNAcentral lists this small nucleolar RNA (127 nucleotides) under Dasypus novemcinctus (nine-banded armadillo). Its description in RNAcentral is "Small nucleolar RNA SNORA31 (ENSDNOG00000042705.1)". It matches the Rfam family "Small nucleolar RNA SNORA31". Rfam says of the family: ACA31 (SNORA31) belongs to the H/ACA class of snoRNAs which are thought to guide the sites of modification of uridines to pseudouridines. ACA31 is predicted to guide the pseudouridylation of U3713 in 28S rRNA and U218 in 18S rRNA. This family includes the mouse homologue snoMBI-161. Lineage: Eukaryota; Metazoa; Chordata; Mammalia; Cingulata; Dasypodidae. The record is from RNAcentral.
ACAUCUCUGACAGGCCUGGAGCAGUUAAUGUCUGCUGCUAAGGUUUCCACUAGAGAUGCAAGAAAAAGGUCCUCGUGCUUCUGUCUGUCUGGUUGUGGCAGCCAGGAUUGAAUGGGGGAAAACAAGA